This 439-nucleotide ribosomal RNA is filed under the name uncultured bacterium. RNAcentral's name for it is "partial 16S ribosomal RNA". It matches the Rfam family "Bacterial small subunit ribosomal RNA", at positions 339 to 795 of the family's 1533-position model. The record is from RNAcentral.
CUACGGGCUGCUCCAGUGAGGAAUAUUGCACAAUGGGGGGAACCCUGAUGCAGCAACGCCGCGUGGAGGAUGACGCAUUUCGGUGUGUAAACUCCUUUUAUAUGCCAAGAAAAUGACGGUAGCAUAUGAAUAAGCGCCGGCUAACUCCGUGCCAGCAGCCGCGGUAAUACGGAGGGCGCAAGCGUUACUCGGAAUCACUGGGCGUAAAGGACGCGUAGGCGGGUUGGAAAGUCAGGUGUGAAAUCCUACAGCUUAACUGUAGAACUGCACUUGAAACUUCUAAUCUAGAGUAUGGGAGGGGGAGAUGGAAUUAGUGGUGUAGGGGUAAAAUCCGUAGAUAUCACUAGGAAUACCUAAAGCGAAGGCGAUCUCCUGGAACAUUACUGACGCUAAGGCGUGAAAGCGUGGGGAGCAAACAGGAUUAGAUACCCCUGUAGUC